CCUACGGGAGGCUGCAGUGGGGAAUAUUGCACAAUGGGCGCAAGCCUGAUGCAGCCAUGCCGCGUGUGUGAAGAAGGCCUUCGGGUUGUAAAGCACUUUCAGCGGGGAGGAAGGCGUUAAGGUUAAUAACCUUGGCGAUUGACGUUACCCGCAGAAGAAGCACCGGCUAACUCCGUGCCAGCAGCCGCGGUAAUACGGAGGGUGCAAGCGUUAAUCGGAAUUACUGGGCGUAAAGCGCACGCAGGCGGUCUGUCAAGUCGGAUGUGAAAUCCCCGGGCUCAACCUGGGAACUGCAUUCGAAAGUGGCAGGCUAGAGUCUUGUAGAGGGGGGUAGAAUUCCAGGUGUAGCGGUGAAAUGCGUAGAGAUCUGGAGGAAUACCGGUGGCGAAGGCGGCCCCCUGGACAAAGACUGACGCUCAGGUGCGAAAGCGUGGGGAGCAAACAGGAUUAGAUACCCUUGUAGUC
This 465-nucleotide ribosomal RNA is filed under the name uncultured Klebsiella sp. RNAcentral's name for it is "bacterial SSU rRNA". It matches the Rfam family "Bacterial small subunit ribosomal RNA", at positions 338 to 795 of the family's 1533-position model. Lineage: Bacteria; Pseudomonadati; Pseudomonadota; Gammaproteobacteria; Enterobacterales; Enterobacteriaceae. The record is from RNAcentral.